AUGUUUAUUUGUGCAGCACUUCUUUAAAAGAUUUGCGUAGUCACUUAAUACGUCAACCGCCAUUGCUCUGCCAUAAACCCUAAACCCGAAGAAGCCGUUAUUCGUUCUGCUGCGUCUUCACCACACCCACACCGGCGGAGGGCGACGUCGCUGUGAUGGACUCAACGGAGUUAAAGGUAGCGGAGCUGUUGAAGGAGGUCCACGUGGACUACUCACAUCAGUUUUCUAAGCUCGUCGACGACACCGUCUCCGCCAUUAAAGCAUCCAUCGAUAAAAUCCCCGACGAUUUUAAGGUAACUGCUGAUUUAGCAUCGCGUUUUGUUACGGACAUUGGUACUGAUAAGGUGGAGUUCAAGUUUAAGAAGCCAACGUUUGUUAAGAUCGGAGGCAGUUACUCUAUACAGAGCCUUGCGAGGCCUGAAAUUAAUGUCGAUCUCAUUAUACGGUUACCGAAGGAGUGCUUCCACGAGAAGGAUUAUUUGAAUUAUAGAUACCAUGCUAAGAGGUGUCUUUAUCUCUGCUUGAUGAAGAAGUACUUGGAGACUUCUCCAUCUAUUGAUAGGGUUGAAUGGUCCACUCUACAGAAUGAAGCCAGAAAACCCUUACUCAUUGCGUAUCCAGCUGCAAAGCUUGUUGAUGUUCCUGGUUUUUUUGUGAGAAUUAUUCCGUCGGCUAUGUCUAUAUUUAGCAUAAAAAAGUUGAACCUGAAGCGCAACAACAUUCACAAUCUGAAUCAUGGGACUGCCCUUCAGGCUACACCGAAGUACAAUUCUAGUAUUCUGGAAGACAUGUUUAUAGAGGAUACAGAAUUCAUCAACAAAUAUUUUCUUGGAUGGAAGGAACUAAGAGAAGCAUUAAUCCUUCUGAAGGUUUGGGCUCGACAAAGAACUUCGAUAUAUGUUCAUGAUUGCCUGAAUGGAUAUUUGAUAUCUGUCAUACUGGCAUAUCUUGCUUCUAAGCAGAAAAUUAGCAAUUCAAUGAAGGCAACUGAAAUUAUUCGUGUUACCUUGAACUUCAUUGCCACCUCAGAGUCAUGGAGCCGAGGACUCUACUUUCCAAAAGAAGGCCAGAGCAAUAUAACAAAAGAGCAAAAGAUGCAACUUAAAGAGUCAUUUCCAGUCAUCAUUUGUCAUCCAUUUGGAGGAUUCAAUUUGGCUUUUCGAAUAACUAGAAUUGGUUUUACACAGCUUCAAGAUGCAGCUUCCUUGACACUUAGGUGCAUGGAGAAGUGUAGAGAUGGUGGAUUUGAGGAAGUUUUUAUGACCAAGAUUGACUAUGCUGUUAAAUAUGACUAUUGUAUGAGAAUAAAUUUGAAGGGAAAGAAGGAGGUAUAUGCAUCGGGAUUCUGUUUGGAUGAUGAGUGCUGGAGAUCAUAUGAGGAGAAAAUACAUUGUAUUUUAUCUAAAGGGUUGAAUGAUAGAGCAAAAUCCAUUCAAGUUACGUGGAGAAACACUCAAUGCCAGUGGAAUGUAGAUGAUGGUUUGUCUGUACUUGAUAAAGAGCCCUUGUUCGUGGGGAUUUCAGUGAGUACAUUGGAGAAAGCAUUUAGGAUGGUUGAUAUUGGUCCAAAUGCUGAAAGUAAAGAAGAGGCUCUUGAAUUUCGAAAGUUCUGGGGAGAGAAAGCUGAGCUUAGAAGAUUUAAAGAUGGUAGAAUUGCGGAAAGCACAGUAUGGGAAAGUGAGCAAUGGGCAAAGCAUCUUAUUUUAAAAAGAAUAGCUGAGCAUGUUCUUAGUCGGCACCUUUCUUUAUCCAAGGAAAGUAUUGUAGUCAUUGUGGAUCAACUUGAUUUCUCUUUGCUUCACGGUGCAAGAGAUCCUGUAUCAUACUCUGGAAGUCUACUUGGGGCAUUUGAUGUUUUAUCAAAGCGUUUGCGUCUUAUUGAAGACCUCCCUUUGAAGGUGUCCAGUGUUCAACCGUUAGACUCAGCUUUCAGGUUUACAUCAGUCUUUCCUCCAGAACCCCAUCUUCUUGCCAGUGAAAAAAUUGAAUCUCUCAGACUGCUUAAGUUAGUUCCAUCAUGCAUUGAACCACUGGAAGUUAUGAUUCAGCUGGAAGGUUCUGGGAACUGGCCGAUGGAUGAGAUUGCUAUUGAAAAAACAAAAUCUAGCUUCCUUAUUCAAAUUGGAGAGAGUCUUCAAAAGAUGUGGGGGGUGUCAUGUACUGCCACUGAGGAUAAUGUAGAUGUGUUAAUGUCUGGAUAUGCAUUUCGUCUUAAAAUUUUGCACGAGAGGGGGCUUAGUUUGCUCAAAAAGGAAAUUGGGAACGAUCAAGCGAAGCGUGUUCCUUCUGCUGACAAGAAACUUUUUACUUGUAGUCAGCACGCUAGCAUGAUCAAUGGAUUACAAAGUCGCCAUCCAAUAUUUGGUGCAGUGGUUAGACUUGCUAAGCGAUGGGUUGCUUCACAUCUAUUUUCCGCUUGCUUGGUAGAGGAGGCUGUUGAGCUAUUGGUUGCAUAUCUCUUUCUUAAUCCUUUACCAUUUGAUGUGCCCUGCUCGCGGAUCACUGGGCUUUUAAGGUUCCUGCGACUAAUCUCAAACUAUGAUUGGACUUUUUCUCCGCUGGUUGUUGACAUAAAUAAUGACUUGAGCCAAAGUGAUGAGAAGGAAAUAAAUGACAACUUUUUGCUCAGAAGGAAAGGUCAGGGAGAGAAAGGACAAAGUUUAGGGCCAGCAAUGUUCUUAGCUACAACUUAUGAUAAAGCAUCUGAGGCUUGGACUGGAUUAUCACCCAGUGCAAUGGAACUUAAAAGGUUAGUUGCUUAUGCCCAAAGCAGUGCCAAUUUGCUAAUGAAACUCACAUAUCAGGAAGAGAUUGGUCCUUAUAGAUGGGAGUGCCUUUUUCGAACUCCUUUGAACAAUUAUGAUGCAAUAAUUAUUCUGCACAAGGACAAACUCCCAUAUCCCCAGAGACUUCUCUUCACGUCAGAUGUUUCUCACGGAACACAAGUUGCUAAAGUACAUGCUAGCAAGUGUUUCCAACCCUUUUUGUUGCCUAGAGAUUUGAAGGGUAGGCAGGAGGAACUUCAAAAUAAAUUGCUGGUAGACUUUGAUCCAUCAAGAUAUUUUAUCAGAGACUUAGAGGUAAAAAGAGUUCUCCACCACAUUCCAAAUAUGGCAUGAUUCUCUAGGAGGUGAUGUUAUUGGCCUAACGUGGGGGGAAUCAUAUUCUUCGAAGAAGCGGAAGCAAGAGGAAGUAGUUGAUGAAGGAUAUAACCCUGGCAAGGUGUUAAAAGCUGUGGGGGAAGUUGGGAAAGGUUUUGUUAAGAGUAUAUACUUUCUCAAGCCUCCAAAGCUCAAGUAAUACUGUUUUGCUUAUCUUAUCAAUAUGUAUAAUGAAAAAAUUUUGUCCCAUUAAUUAGCUAAUUUUAUUAAUUAGAAAAUUAAUUUUAAUUAGCGUGGAGGAAUCAGUUCAACGUAGUUCUACUCUGUUGAGGGAAAAUGGAGAGUUAUUGUAGAUUGUGCGUGUGUAUAUACUUCACUUCCACCUCCACAGCUCGGCUGCCCAAGAAAGAUGAAUAGAGUUGUUGAUUCUUAUUUAUAAAGAAGCUGAUGUAAUAUGUUGUCAUUAAAUUACAAUAUACAUUUUCAAUCGAAUAUCUUGAUUCCCCUUGAUACGUAACAUACAUACAGAUGAAUGUAGGGUUUUGAUGUACUUGAAGUGCUCAAUGAUUCAUUUUCUU
This is an RNA transcript of Abrus precatorius (Indian licorice), 3679 nucleotides long. It is a transcript of the gene named nucleolar protein 6, with no coding region annotated. NCBI's taxonomy places the organism in Eukaryota, Viridiplantae, Streptophyta, Magnoliopsida, Fabales, Fabaceae. The transcript has 26 exons. The record is from RefSeq and is a predicted model, not a curated record.